RNAcentral lists this ribosomal RNA (499 nucleotides) under uncultured bacterium. RNAcentral's name for it is "partial 16S ribosomal RNA". It matches the Rfam family "Bacterial small subunit ribosomal RNA", at positions 28 to 507 of the family's 1533-position model. The record is from RNAcentral.
GACGAACGCUGGCGGCGUGCCUAAUACAUGCUAGUCGAGCGAAGUUUUUCUGGUGCUUGCACUAGAAAAACUUAGCGGCGAACGGGUGAGUAACACGUAAAGAACCUGCCUCAUAGACUGGGACAACUAUUGGAAACGAUAGCUAAUACCGGAUAACAGUAUUUCUCGCAUGAGAGAUAUUUAAAAGUUGGUUAUGCUAACACUAUGAGAUGGCUUUGCGGUGCAUUAGCUAGUUGGUGGGGUAAAGGCCCACCAAGGCGACGAUGCAUAGCCGACCUGAGAGGGUGAUCGGCCACACUGGGACUGAGACACGGCCCAGACUCCUACGGGAGGCAGCAGUAGGGAAUCUUCCGCAAUGGGCGAAAGCCUGACGGAGCAACGCCGCGUGAGUGAAGAAGGAUUUCGGUUCGUAAAGCUCUGUUGUUAGGGAAGAAUGGAUAUGUAGUAACUAUACAUGUAAGAGACGGUACCUAACCAGAAAGCCACGGCUAACUACGUG